Molecule: ribosomal RNA, 164 nt
Filed under: Fargesia dracocephala
Lineage: Eukaryota; Viridiplantae; Streptophyta; Magnoliopsida; Poales; Poaceae
Also listed under: 2 other names
Description: 5.8S ribosomal RNA
Rfam family: 5.8S ribosomal RNA
About the family: 5.8S ribosomal RNA (5.8S rRNA) is a component of the large subunit of the eukaryotic ribosome. It is transcribed by RNA polymerase I as part of the 45S precursor that also contains 18S and 28S rRNA.
Source: RNAcentral
CACAUGACUCUCGGCAACGGAUAUCUCGGCUCUCGCAUCGAUGAAGAACGUAGCGAAAUGCGAUACCUGGUGUGAAUUGCAGAAUCCCGCGAACCAUCGAGUCUUUGAACGCAAGUUGCGCCCGAGGCCUUUGGGCCGAGGGCACGCCUGCCUGGGCGUCACGC